GUUUCUUUUCUCUUUGGUUUUCUUUCUACAAUUUUCUUUUGCUAAACUUUCUUCCUCGCUUUUUCAUGGGUUUUCUAAUUCUUAUUUUGUUCACCUAAAACUUUAUUUCUAUUUCAUUGCGAUCCUGCCCAUAGUUCUAUUUUCUUUCGCUCUUUGUUGUGAAAUCGUGACGAGUUCAGUAAGUGUGUAAGUGUUGGAGUUGGGUUAAGUUAAGGAUAUUUUUUUGCUGAAAAUUCUUUGAGUUAACCUUGGUAUUGUUAUUAUUGUGUUAUUAGGAGAUAAUUGUUUGGUGUUUAAUGGUUUCCCUCCGAGUUAAGAAAAACUUUGGUCGCUAUUAGCUUCAUAGUAAUUGGUUUGAAAAAUUAGAUUUAGGGAUUUCGUGUUAAGUCUUAACUAUCGAAUGACAUAGUUUCGGUCUUUUUGAUUAAUAGUUAAUCGUUGCGAUUGAAUGAUUGUUUGCAGGUUCGUGAGUUCCUAGUUAUGGUCAAUCAAAUUAGCAAUCAGGUGUGUGUUUCUAACCUAAAACCACUACGUAUAAUUUGAAAAAUUUAGAAAAACAACCAGCAAAUCGAAACUAUUUUGCAUCACACGACUGUGUGGCUGGCCGUAUGGCAGACUGUGUACACCACACGGUCGUGUGGCUGGCCGUGCGUUAGAUCGUGUGGGGGCAAAUGAGCUGUGUGAUUACACGGGCAAAUCAGGUAGGUCAUGUGGGCCACACGGGUGGGAUAGGUAAGUCGUGUUAGCCACACGAGCUGGUCAUCUGGGCUAUGUGAAACCACGCGGGCGUGUGGCCCAUUUUCCUGAAAUUUUCAUUUAUGGUUUAAUUUAAAAUGAAAUUUGUAAUUAGACCCACUGUGAGGUCCAGUUUGCUUAAAAAAAAGAUCCGAAGUGAGGUAUAUGUGGUUAUACGUUCAGUAAGUGAGUUACAUCUAUAUUCUAUGUGUCGAUAAUUUUUGAAAGCAUGACUUUUUGUAAAGCAUGUGUGGCAUCCAUGUUCUGUUAUUUGUUUUGAUAUGAUAUCUGAUUCGAUUAUAUGAUAUGUACAUAUGUUAUUUUGAUUUUUGCAUAAGCAUUGGGGCAGUUUUGAUGAUGGAGGAAGUGUUUCAGGCAGUAUUACUGCAAUCUAAGUGGUUAAACCGCAUUAUAUGUUUGGCAGCUCAGCUCAUAUUUAAUAGUGACAUACCACCACUUUCCGGUGUGAUUAGAUGGAUGGACUCAUGUAGUUAUAAUUGGUGUGGUUGAUUGGUUAGAGAUGGUAUGUAGCGGAUGGGGGUAGAAUAUGUUAUGAUAUGUUCUGAUAUGAAAUAUGAUAUAAGAUAUGAUAACCUUCGAUAUGUUAUAUGAUAAGAAAUUUCUAUCUUAUACAAACUCUAUACGUUUUUAUGUUACGUGGGUUAAAUCACACACUGCGCAUAAAGUUCAUGCAUUUGUAUGUUUCAUUUCCAAUGAUCCUCAGGCUUAUGAUUGGACGGUGACUUUAGAGCUUGGAUUUUCACAUUUUUGGAUUGCACAUUGAGUUUAUGUAUGUUUUAGACUUUCUUUGGACUUUUCAGACUUUUGGAUACUUUAAUUUUUGUUUGGGGACUUUUAAAUUUAUUUUGGUAAUUGUUUUUCAAAAACCUUAAUUUUAACCGGUAUUUAAGAUAAGAUGACUUGACUAACGGUUAAAGUUUUAUGAGAUUAAGUCACUACAACAUUGUUUUUCCGCUACAAAGUUUUUGACUAAGACGUUACAAUAUUUUACUCACAAAUGGACUAAAUAAGUCGAAUAUGUUUAGUAAAGCUAAUUAAAUGCGGUUUUCAUCAAAGUACUCAUGGGUUUUGAAAUUGAUAUAUUUGUUUUUCAACAAGUUAUUCAAUUUGGUUUUCCUUAAGUUGAAAGUACAUUUUUACCAAAAUUAAGCACUAGUGAUUUCACAUAUGAUGUAACCUCCACAAUCUGACUGUAAUGUCUAGGUUGGGUUUAGGGCGUUACAAAUACUUUUGUAUUAUUGACUUGAAUCAUGAAAGUGCCACUAAGCAUUAUCACUCAACGUACGACUUGUUUAUUCUAUACGCAAGUUCUCGUAGAUUUUGAAGUUCCAAAAACUGAAGUAGUAUACAAAUCAUAGCUCUCAACUCAACAAUGUUUUGUAUCGUGUAUUGUCAUUUGGAUGAUUUGAAUAGUAAAUGUUGAAUUGAGUACAAGUGAAUGGUAUUGCAUAUGAUGUAUUUGUAGUUGUUAAGGUCUAGAUGAACUUUGAUAUGCAAUUGAACAAUUUUGUUAAGUUAUUGUGAACUUGUAACUAAUGGAUAUUGUGUAAACAAUAGGUGACGUCGCGACGAAAAAUCUUCAAAGUUGCGACAUAAAUUAACAGAGAGUGGCGUCGCGACCAUGGGCCUCUAAUGUCAUGAUGGCACUCACUAUCUAUCAAAGUCGCAAUGUGGUUCCUUCGACGCCACAACGCCAUCCCGAUAAUUUUGGAAACUUUACAUCUUAGUUCCUUGACAGCCCCGGUUCAUCAUAAGAGCUUUCAU
This 2520-nucleotide long non-coding RNA is filed under the name Gossypium raimondii (Peruvian cotton). RNAcentral's name for it is "long non-coding RNA (GRAI_LNC007281)". Lineage: Eukaryota; Viridiplantae; Streptophyta; Magnoliopsida; Malvales; Malvaceae. The record is from RNAcentral.